GAUGAACGCUGUCAGAAUGCUUAACACAUGCAAGUCUUUGGCGAAGCUGUGCUUGCACAGCCUAGCCAAGGCGGACGGGUGAGUAACGCGUAAGGAACUUGCCCUGCAGUCAGGGAUAACAGACGGAAACGACUGAUAAGACCUGGUAAAGUCAGGCGGACUCAUGUCCAGCCUGAUGAAAAGAGAUGCUGCAGGAGAGCCUUGCGUCCUAUUAGCUUGUUGGUGGGGUAACGGCCCACCAAGGCGAUGAUAGGUAGCCGGCCUGAGAGGGUGGACGGCCACAAGGGGACUGAGAUACGGCCCUUACUCCUACGGGAGGCAGCAGUGGGGAAUAUUGGACAAUGGGGGCAACCCUGAUCCAGCAAUUCUGUGUGCACGAUGAAGGUUUUCGGAUCGUAAAGUGCUUUCAGCAGGGAAGAAAAAAAUGACGGUACCUGCAGAAGAAGCGACGGCUAAAUACGUG
This 463-nucleotide ribosomal RNA is filed under the name uncultured bacterium. RNAcentral describes it as "partial 16S ribosomal RNA". It matches the Rfam family "Bacterial small subunit ribosomal RNA", at positions 28 to 507 of the family's 1533-position model. The record is from RNAcentral.